GACGAACGCUGGCGGCGUGCUUAACACAUGCAAGUCGAACGGAAAGGCCCUGCUUUUGUGGGGUGCUCGAGUGGCGAACGGGUGAGUAACACGUGAGUAACCUGCCCUUGACUUUGGGAUAACUUCAGGAAACUGGGGCUAAUACCGGAUAGGAGCUCCUGCUGCAUGGUGGGGGUUGGAAAGUUUCGGCGGUUGGGGAUGUACUCGCGGCUUAUCAGCUUGUUGGUGGGGUAGUGGCUUACCAAGGCUUUGACGGGUAGCCGGCCUGAGAGGGUGACCGGCCACAUUGGGACUGAGAUACGGCCCAGACUCCUACGGGAGGCAGCAGUGGGGAAUAGUGCACAAUGGGCGGAAGCCUGAUGCAGCAACGCCGCGUGCGGGAUGACGGCCUUCGGGUUGUAAACCGCUUUCGCCUGUGACGAAGCGUGAGUGACGGUAAUGGGUAAAGAAGCACCGGCUAACUACGUG
RNAcentral lists this ribosomal RNA (468 nucleotides) under uncultured bacterium. RNAcentral describes it as "partial 16S ribosomal RNA". It matches the Rfam family "Bacterial small subunit ribosomal RNA", at positions 28 to 507 of the family's 1533-position model. The record is from RNAcentral.